Long non-coding RNA from Actinia tenebrosa (Australian red waratah sea anemone), 565 nucleotides. The record is from RefSeq and is a predicted model, not a curated record. Lineage: Eukaryota; Metazoa; Cnidaria; Anthozoa; Actiniaria; Actiniidae.
UUGCACGCUGGUUUUUUGAAGGACGAGAAGAAAUAAUUGGCUUUUUUACGCUCAAAAUAAGUCCUAAAAAUGGUCAAAAUGAAGACUGAGACAAAGAAGAGGGUCCAAACAGUCUUUCAUUACUCAAAGACUGUAUUCCAUUGGGGAUUUAUACCAUUUAUUAUUUAUCUAGGUCUGAAGAAAGGGGGAGAUCCAGGGAUGCCUGAACCAACUUUAUUAAGUAUUCUUUGGGCUUGAAGGAAAAAUAAACUUGAACAAGAAAGAAGAUUGAUUUUUAUACUCAGAUGCAGCUCUAAUUUGGCGCACAGGAUUUUUAAAAUGACACAUGGAUAACGACAGAAAAUUGCAAAAUGGCAUGAACAAUAAUAAUUAUGAAUGACAUUUAUUCUUGAAGCCAUGCAUAUACAGUCCGCUGUUGUAUUCCUUCUCAGUAACUUAUACGCCUUGCUAGACAUUUGUGGGAUAUGUCAUGGUAUCCUACUCAAUUCCACUGUAUAAAUAGUGUGUAGUAUAUGUGAAAGAUAUAGUCAGCGUUAAGGAAUAAAUACAGUGCACUUGUGAAAAA